RNAcentral lists this transfer RNA (84 nucleotides) under Patescibacteria group bacterium. RNAcentral describes it as "tRNA-Leu". It matches the Rfam family "tRNA". Rfam says of the family: Transfer RNA (tRNA) molecules are approximately 80 nucleotides in length. Their secondary structure includes four short double-helical elements and three loops (D, anti-codon, and T loops). The record is from RNAcentral.
GCCCGGGUGGUGAAAUUGGUAGACACGCAAGACUUAAAAUUUUGUAGCCGUGAGGCUGUGCGGGUUCGAUUCCCGCCCCGGGCA